This is a long non-coding RNA of Equus caballus (horse), 1272 nucleotides long. The record is from Ensembl. Lineage: Eukaryota; Metazoa; Chordata; Mammalia; Perissodactyla; Equidae.
AACGUACUUCAUUUAACAGUUUGUCAGCUGGAUUUAUAAGUUCUACAUAUUUAGAAAAUGUAAUUCCACGUCUAUGAAUCUAAUCCUUAAAAAAAUGAUUAAAAAUGUUGACAAACAUUUGUGCAUCUAGAAAUGAAGAUAACCUAAAUGCUAAACAAUGGGGAAAUUUGUGUUUCCAUGAGGAAGCCAUACCCUGAUGGCCUUUGACGUAAUCCACAAAUGGACCCUCUGUCCUGUCGCCAGAGUGGAAUCCUGCUUUCCAAGGGCUAUUUCCUCUCAGUUGUCAGCAUUCCCUUCUAAUGUUUGGGUUCCUACAGCAGCCCUGGAGGCCUCAUCCUAACUGGGAAGCUGACUCUUUACUGAGCUGCCGGGAGAGUGACUCCCACAGGAGAGCAAUGCAGCUGCUCUUACAAAAGCAGAGCAGACUCGUCUGCCUUCUCCCUGCAGGGACUUGGCCCUGUGCACUGUGAAGACCUCGCUUCAUUCAUCCUAGCUCCCCACACCUCUGACAUCACCUCCCUCCCCAUGCUUUGUGGUGCAGGGACUUUCAUUAUCUCUCCAUCCCUGGGUAAAGAUCUGAUCGAUUAUUUCACACAAACAGUGACCCUUCUAAGGGUCUUCAUUUUUAAUAGGGAGAUGGCAAACUUAAGCCAGGGAAGGGAUCUCCAAAGGCAGUGUGUCCAACACAAGACUUCUGAAGGUAGAAGACAUUUGGGGACGGCAGAGGGAAGCAAGCUUUCUGAAGCCCUGGAAAUCAAGCCAUGUCAAUUACCUCUUUUCAGCAAAGCCUGCUAAGACUGAGACGAUGGAAGGAUUGAGAAGACCCCCCUAAGUAUCAGAAAACUAAGACGGGAAGGAAAGCCAGUCUUACUCAAACUGGAAAUGAAGCACACAGAUUCAGGCGAGAGCUGCUGUGAGCUCCCAGCCCUCAGCAUGUCCCCGACAUGUCUAAAAGUUGAGAGAAGAGAGGAAAGCUAUCUGUUUUAUGGUUAUCGCUAUUGCUAUGGUCGUCAUUCUAGAAACUCUUCCAAGCAACACACUAGCAUCCUAAGUAUUUCCCCUGGUCUGGGCUUCCUCCUGCUUGUUGUCCCCGACAUCGCGCACAGAGCCUUGCCUUAGGGUGGUGGGCAAGGUCUCCAUUGGUCUCUGUCUUCUCCAGCCCUAGGCAGGGGGCCGGGAGUCAGGAGUUAGUCUGGAAGUUAGCUGUCGAUGCUGGAAUACAGACCGCUAGAGACAGGUCUCUACUGGUAAAACCAUGCGACAACCAUUCUG